This 497-nucleotide ribosomal RNA is filed under the name uncultured bacterium. RNAcentral's name for it is "partial 16S ribosomal RNA". It matches the Rfam family "Bacterial small subunit ribosomal RNA", at positions 28 to 507 of the family's 1533-position model. The record is from RNAcentral.
GAUGAACGCUGGCGGCGUGCCUAAUACGUGCAAGUCGAGCGAACAGAUGAGGAGCUUGCUCCUCUGACGUUAGCGGCGGACGGGUGAGUAACACGUGGAUAACCUACCUAUAAGACUGGGAUAACUUCGGGAAACCGGAGCUAAUACCGGAUAAUAUAUUGAACCGCAUGGUUCAAUAGUGAAAGACGGUUUUGCUGUCACUUAUAGAUGGAUCCGCGCCGCAUUAGCUAGUUGGUAAGGUAACGGCUUACCAAGGCAACGAUGCGUAGCCGACCUGAGAGGGUGAUCGGCCACACUGGAACUGAGACACGGUCCAGACUCCUACGGGAGGCAGCAGUAGGGAAUCUUCCGUAAUGGGCGAAAGCCUGACGGAGCAACGCCGCGUGAGUGAUGAAGGUCUUCGGAUCGUAAAACUCUGUUAUUAGGGAAGAACAAAUGUGUAAGUAACUAUGCACGUCUUGACGGUACCUAAUCAGAAAGCCACGGCUAACUACGUG